Molecule: ribosomal RNA, 225 nt
Filed under: uncultured bacterium
Lineage: Bacteria
Description: partial 16S ribosomal RNA
Rfam family: Bacterial small subunit ribosomal RNA
Source: RNAcentral
AGUAACGCGUGGGUAACCUGCCUUGUACUGGGGGACAACAGUUGGAGACGACUGCUAAUACCGCAUAAGCGCACAGCUUCGCAUGAAGCAGUGUGAAAAACUCCGGUGGUACAAGAUGGACCCGCGUCUGAUUAGCUGGUUGGUGAGGUAACGGCCCACCAAGGCAACGAUCAGUAGCCGGCCUGAGAGGGUGAACGGCCACAUUGGGACUGAGACACGGCCCAA